This 338-nucleotide RNase P RNA is filed under the name Pseudoduganella sp. SL102. RNAcentral's name for it is "RNase P RNA component class A". It matches the Rfam family "Bacterial RNase P class A". From Rfam's summary of the family: Ribonuclease P (RNase P) is a ubiquitous endoribonuclease, found in archaea, bacteria and eukarya as well as chloroplasts and mitochondria. The record is from RNAcentral. Lineage: Bacteria; Pseudomonadati; Pseudomonadota; Betaproteobacteria; Burkholderiales; Oxalobacteraceae.
GAAGCAAGCCAGACAGCCGCUGGCCGGCGCAGCAAUGCGUUGGCGGGAGGAAGGUCCGGACUCCACAGAGCGGGGUGACGGUUAACGGCCGUCCGCUGAAAGCCCUUCACGGGGUAUAAGGCGAGGAAUAGGGCCACAGAGACGAGCGUAUUAAGUUACGGUGAAACGCGGUAACCUCCACCUGGUGCAAUUUCAAAUAGGCACGCGAUGAUGUUGCUCGCGGAGCGUGCGGGUAGAAAGCUUGAGCGGCGGAGUAAUCCGUCGCCUAGAGGAAUGGCUGUCAUAGCACCGGCUUGCCGGUGCCGUAACAGAAUCCGGCCUAUCGGCUUGCUUCACUA